RNAcentral lists this long non-coding RNA (303 nucleotides) under Bos taurus (domestic cattle). RNAcentral describes it as "long non-coding RNA NONBTAT023375". Lineage: Eukaryota; Metazoa; Chordata; Mammalia; Artiodactyla; Bovidae. The record is from RNAcentral.
UGGGACCUUGAGUUUAAAAGCUACAGUUGCACUCUGUGUGUCUAGAAUAAUAACAGAGGCACACACUAAAGUCUGAAUAGCUAGAGAGAAGCUCUAACACUGGGAUUAUUUUAAGAUAAUCAGAAGUUAAUAAAUGACAGAAGGGUUGACUAUAUACAAAAACCUUUUUGCACCAGCAAAUUCUACCCAAGGCAGGCUAGGGGAAUUCCCUGAAGUAAAUUAAUUCAGUACAGUAUCUCUGGGAAAUGAUCAGUAAAUAAUCAGGGGGUAGUUCUAUUACAUGCUUGAAGUACCUAUUUAGUA